RNAcentral lists this ribosomal RNA (492 nucleotides) under uncultured bacterium. Its description in RNAcentral is "partial 16S ribosomal RNA". It matches the Rfam family "Bacterial small subunit ribosomal RNA", at positions 29 to 507 of the family's 1533-position model. The record is from RNAcentral.
AGUGAACGCUGGCGGUAGGCCUAACACAUGCAAGUCGAACGGCAGCACAGUAAGAGCUUGCUCUUACGGGUGGCGAGUGGCGGACGGGUGAGGAAUACAUCGGAAUCUACUUUUUCGUGGGGGAUAACGUAGGGAAACUUACGCUAAUACCGCAUACGACCUACGGGUGAAAGCAGGGGAUCUUCGGACCUUGCGCGAUUGGAUGAGCCGAUGUCGGAUUAGCUAGUUGGCGGGGUAAAGGCCCACCAAGGCGACGAUCCGUAGCUGGUCUGAGAGGAUGAUCAGCCACACUGGAACUGGGCCACGGUCCAGACUACUACGGGAGGCAGCAGUGGGGAAUAUUAGACAAUGGGCGCAAGCCUGAUCCAGCCAUACCGCGUGGGUGAAGAAGGCCUUCGGGUUGUAAAGCCCUUUUGUUGGGAAAGAAAAGCAGCAGGUUAAUACCCCGCUGUUCUGACGGUACCCAAAGAAUAAGCACCGGCUAACUUCGUG